GACGAACGCUGGCGGCGUGCCUAAUACAUGCAAGUCGAACGCUGAAGGAGGAGCUUGCUUCUCUGGAUGAGUUGCGAACGGGUGAGUAACGCGUAGGUAACCUGCCUGGUAGCGGGGGAUAACUAUUGGAAACGAUAGCUAAUACCGCAUAAUAUUGACUAUUGCAUGAUAGUCAGUUGAAAGGUGCAACUGCACCACUACCAGAUGGACCUGCGUUGUAUUAGCUAGUUGGUGGGGUAACGGCUCACCAAGGCGACGAUACAUAGCCGACCUGAGAGGGGGGUCGGCCGGACUGGGACUGUGACACGGCCCAGAGUCCUACGGGAGGCAGCAGUAGGGAAUCGUCGGCAAUGGGCGGAAGUCUGACCGAGCAACGCCGCGGGAGUGAAGAAGGUUGUCGGAUCGGAAAGCUCGGUUGUAAGAGAAGAACGAGUGUGAGAGUGGAAAGCUCACACUGUGACGGUAGCUUACCAGAAAGGGACGGCUAACUACGUG
Molecule: ribosomal RNA, 495 nt
Filed under: uncultured bacterium
Lineage: Bacteria
Description: partial 16S ribosomal RNA
Rfam family: Bacterial small subunit ribosomal RNA
Source: RNAcentral